Molecule: long non-coding RNA, 711 nt
Organism: Lepisosteus oculatus (spotted gar)
Lineage: Eukaryota; Metazoa; Chordata; Actinopteri; Semionotiformes; Lepisosteidae
Source: RefSeq, a predicted model, not a curated record
AAUGAAUGCUCUUUAGAAAUUCAGCUGGGAGAACACCAGAUCAAACAGGUGGCAGGGUGAAGAGGACUUCUUCAACAAGGCUGUAGUUGGGGGAAGCUGCAAAAGGCAAUUUCCAUGCACCUGGAGGACUUGUGGAAAGACUUGAAAACAGUUGUACAGUCCCUCUGGCUAUUACAUAAGUGCUAUUGCCCAAGUUACAUAAGGAAGCACAGGGUUGGUCAAGACCGUGACCGUGGCUGCCGGUUCGAAUGGCCAAUGUCUGCUGAAGACGGCGCAGCCUUCCAGGAAUACAUCUGCAUCAGAAAAAGACUAAGUCGAUACUAAUGAAAUACAAAAGGGAGAAGACUAUUUUCCUUUGACAAACACAGACUAAAGACUUUGAAAUGAAUAUAUGAACACAGACCCUGCUAUUGAAAGUGCAGUGGGCAACCACCGACAACAAAAAAUGAAAUAAUUGCAUACUCAAUCUUAACAGUUUCUAGUUGCCUGGGAUAUACAUGAAAAUCAAGACUCAUGUUAAUCCUCUUGGGAGUGUUUUUUUUCCAUUUUUUCUGUUCAUAAAUAUUUUGGGAUAAAAGCAAGUUUCCACACAGUACUGGCAUGGGGCUUAGCAUAAUCAAAUACCAAAACAUCCCCAGAAACAGAGAGACAGUAAAUAGAAAUAACAGGAAUUAGCAGCGGUGAUAUGAAAAGCACUCCUGUUUGACUACU